UUGCUCAUUUCAGCAGCAUAUAUACUAAAAUUGGAAUGAUACAGAGAUUAGCAUGGUCCCUGUGCAAGGAUGACAAGCACCGUGCUAAUUUUCUUUCUUUCUUU
RNAcentral lists this small nuclear RNA (104 nucleotides) under Propithecus coquereli (Coquerel's sifaka). Lineage: Eukaryota; Metazoa; Chordata; Mammalia; Primates; Indriidae. The record is from RNAcentral.